ACGCGUGGGAAUCUACCCAUCUCUACGGAACAACUCCGGGAAACUGGAGCUAAUACCGUAUACGUCCUUAUGGAGAAAGAUUUAUCGGAGAUGGAUGAGCCCGCGUUGGAUUAGCUAGUUGGUGGGGUAAUGGCCUACCAAGGCGACGAUCCAUAGCUGGUCUGAGAGGAUGAUCAGCCACAUUGGGACUGAGACACGGCCCAAACUCCUACGGGAGGCAGCAGUGGGGAAUAUUGGACAAUGGGCGCAAGCCUGAUCCAGCCAUGCCGCGUGAGUGAUGAAGGCCCUAGGGUUGUAAAGCUCUUUCAACGGUGAAGAUAAUGACGGUAACCGUAGAAGAAGCCCCGGCUAACUUCGUGCCAGCAGCCGCGGUAAUACGAAGGGGGCUAGCGUUGUUCGGAAUUACUGGGCGUAAAGCGCACGUAGGCGGAUAUUUAAGUCAGGGGUGAAAUCCCGGGGCUCAACCCCGGAACUGCCUUUGAUACUGGGUAUCUCGAGUCCGAGAGAGGUGAGUGGAAUUCCGAGUGUAGAGGUGAAAUUCGUAGAUAUUCGGAGGAACACCAGUGGCGAAGGCGGCUCACUGGCUCGGUACUGACGCUGAGGUGCGA
RNAcentral lists this ribosomal RNA (608 nucleotides) under uncultured Mesorhizobium sp. RNAcentral describes it as "bacterial SSU rRNA". It matches the Rfam family "Bacterial small subunit ribosomal RNA", at positions 113 to 756 of the family's 1533-position model. Lineage: Bacteria; Pseudomonadati; Pseudomonadota; Alphaproteobacteria; Hyphomicrobiales; Phyllobacteriaceae. The record is from RNAcentral.